GUGGACACCUCAUUUUAAUUAUCUUAAUUUAAAGUCAAUCAUCUUCAUCUCCUUUCCAUAAACUGCCAUCCACCUCUUCACCAUUUUCUCUCAUUUGUUUCCCUUCCACUAUUAAAGCAUCAUCACCAAGCUUCCAACCACUUGCCUCCCUUCAUCAAUUUUAUUGGAAACCUUGAGAAACCUCCAUAUCCAUCCUUGAAGUGAAGAAAAGACACCAAUAUUUCAAGCAAGAAAUCUAGCCAGAAGCUGGACGCUAAG
Molecule: unclassified non-coding RNA, 258 nt
Filed under: Hevea brasiliensis (rubber tree)
Lineage: Eukaryota; Viridiplantae; Streptophyta; Magnoliopsida; Malpighiales; Euphorbiaceae
Source: RNAcentral